ACCGGCGUACGGGUGCGUAACACGUAUGCAACCUACCCGUCAUUGGGGGAUAGCUCGGGGAAACUCGAAUUAAUACCGCAUAAGAUAGUAGAGAGGCAUCUUUCAGCUAUUAAAGAUUUAUUGAUGACGGAUGGGCAUGCGUUAGAUUAGGUAGUUGGUAAGGUAACGGCUUACCAAGCCUACGAUCUAUAGGGGCUCUGAGAGGAGAAUCCCCCACACUGGCACUGAGAUACGGGCCAGACUCCUACGGGAGGCAGCAGUAGGGAAUAUUGGGCAAUGGACGAAAGUCUGACCCAGCCAUGCCGCGUGCAGGACGAAGGCCCUCUGGGUUGUAAACUGCUUUUUUAUGGGAAGAAAAGACUCGUUGCGACGAGAGUUGACGGUACCAUAAGAAUAAGCCACGGCUAACUACGUGCCAGCAGCCGCGGUAAUACGUAGGUGGCGAGCGUUAUCCGGAUUUAUUGGGUUUAAAGGGUGCGUAGGCGGGAGAUUAAGUCGAUGGUGAAAGGUAGCAGCUCAACUGUUUUACAUGCUGUCGAUACUGAUUUUCUUGAGUUAUUGGAAGGCAGAUAGAAUUUCUGGUGUAGCGGUGAAAUGCUUAGAUACCAGAAGGAAUACCGAUUGCGAAGGCAGUCUGCUGCAAAUAUACUGACGCUGAGGCACGAAAGUAUGGGGAUCAAACAGGAUUAGAUACCCUGGU
This 700-nucleotide ribosomal RNA is filed under the name uncultured bacterium. RNAcentral's name for it is "bacterial SSU rRNA". It matches the Rfam family "Bacterial small subunit ribosomal RNA", at positions 94 to 791 of the family's 1533-position model. The record is from RNAcentral.